This 925-nucleotide ribosomal RNA is filed under the name uncultured bacterium. RNAcentral describes it as "bacterial SSU rRNA". It matches the Rfam family "Bacterial small subunit ribosomal RNA", at positions 33 to 940 of the family's 1533-position model. The record is from RNAcentral.
ACGCUGGCGGCGUGCCUAAUACAUGCAAGUAGAACGCUGAAGAGAGGAGCUUGCUCUUCUUGGAUGAGUUGCGAACGGGUGAGUAACGCGUAGGUAACCUGCCUUGUAGCGGGGGAUAACUAUUGGAAACGAUAGCUAAUACCGCAUAACAAUGGAUGACACAUGUCAUUUAUUCGAAAGGGGCAAUUGCUCCACUACAAGAUGGACCUGCGUUGUAUUAGCUAGUAGGUGAGGUAACGGCUCACCUAGGCGACGAUACAUAGCCGACCUGAGAGGGUGAUCGGCCACACUGGGACUGAGACACGGCCCAGACUCCUACGGGAGGCAGCAGUAGGGAAUCUUCGGCAAUGGGGGCAACCCUGACCGAGCAACGCCGCGUGAGUGAAGAAGGUUUUCGGAUCGUAAAGCUCUGUUGUAAGUCAAGAACGAGUGUGAGAGUGGAAAGUUCACACUGUGACGGUAGCUUACCAGAAAGGGACGGCUAACUACGUGCCAGCAGCCGCGGUAAUACGUAGGUCCCGAGCGUUGUCCGGAUUUAUUGGGCGUAAAGCGAGCGCAGGCGGUUUGAUAAGUCUGAAGUUAAAGGCUGUGGCUCAACCAUAGUUCGCUUUGGAAACUGUCAAACUUGAGUGCAGAAGGGGAGAGUGGAAUUCCAUGUGUAGCGGUGAAAUGCGUAGAUAUAUGGAGGAACACCGGUGGCGAAAGCGGCUCUCUGGUCUGUAACUGACGCUGAGGCUCGAAAGCGUGGGGAGCGAACAGGAUUAGAUACCCUGGUAGUCCACGCCGUAAACGAUGAGUGCUAGGUGUUGGAUCCUUUCCGGGAUUCAGUGCCGCAGCUAACGCAUUAAGCACUCCGCCUGGGGAGUACGACCGCAAGGUUGAAACUCAAAGGAAUUGACGGGGGCCCGCACAAGCGGUGGAGCAU